This 1248-nucleotide ribosomal RNA is filed under the name Triticum aestivum (bread wheat). RNAcentral describes it as "partial small subunit ribosomal RNA". The record is from RNAcentral. Lineage: Eukaryota; Viridiplantae; Streptophyta; Magnoliopsida; Poales; Poaceae.
AUGUCUUGCUUCCAUUUGCCUCGGGGCUUAUGUGACAAUAUUAUUGAUAACACAUCUGCUCAAUGGAAAGAAGAGUUGAUCCGGUCAGUUUUUACACUGUUUGAUGUAGAAGAGAUCCUAAAAAUUCCGCUAUGUACCCGCAAUGUUACUGAUUUCUGGGCAUGGCAUGACGAACCCAAAGGUAACUUCUCGGUUCGGUCAGCUUACCAGAUGAUUUUGAGAACAGAACUCACCAGGGAGAGAUGGAUACACGAAGAAGCAGGUAUGUCAGAAAGAGAUAGUGAGUUCCGGUCCUCACUUUGGCAUAUCUAGGUUCCAUCAAAACUCCGUAUGUUUGUUUGGAGACUUGCGAGACAGUCCAUGCCUACUGGAGAAGUUCUAAAUCAUCACCACAUGGCGGAUGAGGACACAUGCAGACUGUGUGGAGCACGAGACACAUGGAGGCAUGCACUACUAACAUGCUCAAUGUCUCGAAGUGUAUGGGCUCUUGCUCUUGAAGAGCUCGUUGAGAAGAUCAUAAGUUAUCAACAGGAGGGUCCAAAGGAGUGGCUCUUUGCCCUACAUGAAAUAUUGAGUGUGGACGAUUUCCUUCGCCUAGUUGUGACAGCUUGGGCAAUCUGGGGGCGAGGAGGAAAGCAAUAUUAUGAAGAUAUUUUUCAGUCUCCUUUUGCUAUGAAUAGUUUCAUAUCAGUUUAUCUGGAUGAGGUUCGCCAAGCUAACAACCAGGUUGAGGAAGCUAGUGUACCCGUGGUAAGGAGCUUAUUAUGGAUACCUCCAGCCCAGGGGAGAGUCAAAAUAAAUGUGAAUGCAACUGUGUUAGCAAGAAGGAAAUUUGGAGCCGUAAGUGUGAUCUGCAGAGACCAAAAUGGUGCUUUUCUUGGGGCCUCCGUGGUGGUAAUCAAAUUCAUUACAGAUCCUCCCACACUUGAGGCAAUGGCUAUCCGGGAAGCUCUAUCCUUGGCUGAGGAUUUAUAUUUUCAAAAUAUUCAUGUUGCUUCUGAUUGCAAAACGGUGGUUGAUGAGGUGAGAAAAGGGACUUACGCGGCAUAUGGAGCAGUUGUCCAAGAGAUUUCUGAACGAUCUACGAAUCUUCAAUCUUGUAAUAUAGUUCAUGAGUUUAGGAGCUCGAAUUAUGAAGCUCACACCCUAGCAAAGCAUGCUGUCCCACUCGGUAUUGGUCGACAUGUUUGGUUGGGCUAUCCGGGAGAUCUUUCCUUCGUCCCUGUAAACAUUGUGACGUUUGAAUAA